RNAcentral lists this ribosomal RNA (454 nucleotides) under uncultured bacterium. RNAcentral describes it as "partial 16S ribosomal RNA". It matches the Rfam family "Bacterial small subunit ribosomal RNA", at positions 28 to 507 of the family's 1533-position model. The record is from RNAcentral.
GAUGAACGCUGACAGAAUGCUUAACACAUGCAAGUCAACUUGAACUUCGGUUUGGGUGGCGGACGGGUGAGUAACGCGUAAAGAACUUGCCUCACAGAUAGGGACAACAUUUGGAAACGAAUGCUAAUACCUGAUAUUAUGAUUAUAUGGCAUCGUAUAAUUAUGAAAGCUAUAUGCGCUGUGAGAGAGCUUUGCGUCCUAUUAGCUAGUUGGAGAGGUAACGGCUCACCAAGGCGAUGAUGGGUAGCCGGCCUGAGAGGGUGAUCGGCCACAAGGGGACUGAGACACGGCCCUUACUCCUACGGGAGGCAGCAGUGGGGAAUAUUGGACAAUGGACCAAGAGUCUGAUCCAGCAAUUCUGUGUGCACGAUGAAGUUUUUCGGAAUGUAAAGUGCUUUCAGUUGGGAAGAAAAAAAUGACGGUACCAACAGAAGAAGUGACGGCUAAAUACGUG